CCUACGGGAGGCAGCAGUGAGGAAUAUUGGUCAAUGGCCGUAAGGCUGAACCAGCCAAGUCGCGUGAAGGAAGAAGGAUCUAUGGUUUGUAAACUUCUUUUAUAGGGGAAUAAAGGUAUCCACGUGUGGAUAUUUGCAUGUACCCUAUGAAUAAGCAUCGGCUAACUCCGUGCCAGCAGCCGCGGUAAUACGGAGGAUGCGAGCGUUAUCCGGAUUUAUUGGGUUUAAAGGGUGCGUAGGUUGUUUUUUAAGUCAGCGGUGAAAGUUUGUGGCUCAACCAUAAAAUUGCCGUUGAAACUGGAAGACGUGAGUGUGUUUGAGGUAGGCGGAAUGCGUGGUGUAGCGGUGAAAUGCAUAGAUAUCACGCAGAACUCCGAUUGCGAAGGCAGCUUACUAAGCCAUAACUGACACUGAAGCACGAAAGCGUGGGGAUCAAACAGGAGUAGAUACCCGUGUAGUC
This 460-nucleotide ribosomal RNA is filed under the name uncultured bacterium. RNAcentral's name for it is "partial 16S ribosomal RNA". It matches the Rfam family "Bacterial small subunit ribosomal RNA", at positions 338 to 795 of the family's 1533-position model. The record is from RNAcentral.